GUGACCCAGGGUCGAGUUGGCCUACCUUCGGACUU
RNAcentral lists this ribosomal RNA (35 nucleotides) under Raphia farinifera. RNAcentral's name for it is "partial 26S ribosomal RNA". The record is from RNAcentral. Lineage: Eukaryota; Viridiplantae; Streptophyta; Magnoliopsida; Arecales; Arecaceae.